GGCUUUUGUUUAUUGUCAUUGCAUAAGAGACUAUGACAGGAAAUUGUUUUCUCUGAAAUCUGAAAGGCAAUCUUGGAUCUGAUGGUGUCAGUGACAUUCUUGGAAUAAGAACUUUGUUUCCAGCAUUAUGACCAGUUAUAACUUUGGCUUCCAAUACGUGACUCCCCAAUCUGGUAAUAACCAAUCUAGUGCCAUUGCACAAGCCAUUUGCAUGAUCUAUAUUCCUCAAUAGCAUGACUGGAGUUCCAACUUUCAAGUAUAGUUCAUGAUUGGGGACACCAGAACAUUUAAGACUAUUUAGGAACUCAGGCGUAUGUAUGUCAUGGAGCAACGAUGAAGUAGAGUCUGUUGUGCACGUCUUAUCUGAGCUCAAAUAUUGUCUGCCUUCACACUCAUUCAAUGAAACCAUGUAUUGAUUUAUAGACUCAAUCACAUUUAGUGUGGGUGCCAAAAUAGCUCGUUCCUGCAAAUAGCUUGGAUUGUCACUGCAAUUGCUGAAUGAUGAAUAAAUCUCAUCGACUAUAGCAGCAAUAGGAUCUCCUGAAUAUUUAAUGAGAAUGUCAUCUGGAAGCUCAAUAUCCACUUCACCAUCAUUUGGACCUCCUAGUAUCCCAUCUCCCACACUUGCUAUCCACUUAGCAAAUUGCUCCAAUUGGAUGGACUCUUCAUUUGUACGUGCAUUCCCAAGUCUCAUGUUUUUUGUCAAUCGUAAGACAGUGCAACUCUUCCAUAAAUAUGAAGAAUUGAUUGUAGCAUUCCACCCUAAUCAAAUCACACAUAGGAUUUAAUUAUAACAAAAUAUGCAUAAUAAAAGACUGUAUGUAAUUAAAUAGAGUUCAGUUUUCUAACCUCUGAAUUUUCACAAAGCUCUUUUAUGGUUGUCACAGUAACUCCAGCCUCGAGCUCAUCAUUAACGGUAUAACUUGUUUGUUGUGAAGUAUUGACAAUAAUUUUAGUGCAUAAGCUGGAGUGAGUAAGCCUUUUUUUAAAAAAAAUAAGGUUACACAUGAGUCAAUUACAAAUGGCUGGGCAUCAAUCAAUUAAGAAUGGUGAGCUACCAAUUAGGUGAAUGAUAGAUACCUCUCCUUGAAUUCAUGAACUUCGGGUAUAUCAGCAUUCAACAAAAUUUUUGUAACUCUAUAUCCAUUCUGCACUCUAACAACACCUACCAUAUUAAAUAUUAAACAGAAGAUUAGAUAUUAAAUACUCCUUUAAGUUAUAAUUACAAACAUGAACUUACCUUGAUACAAAAAUAACUUACCAACAUAAAGUUAAAGUUCAGUACAAAAAAUAAAAUUUAAUUUUUAUUUACCUUGAUACAUACUCAGCCUACAAAAUUGUAUUAUGAUAAUGUUGGCAUCCAAUUCGCGUUCUUCAUAUUUUUUGAUGAAUUCAUCAACAUAAUCAUCCCAUAUAGUACAUGAGAUUCUUUUUCCCCUUCAAACAAAAGUACAUUUAAGGAACAACAAAACACAAAAGUUGUAGUUUAUUAAUGUACACAGAAUCUGUACAGAAUAACUCACUCAGUAUCUUCUAGAAUGAGAUCUAAGAGUUUUUUUUCUUUUCCAUCUCGUGUUGUGAUUUUCUGUGGAUUAGGAUUCGAAAUAAUUCUACCAAUCACAUCUGCAUACAUCAAUUCUAUUAUAAAAUAUUGGGAGUAAAAAUAGAAAUACAUGAAAAAAACAUAAGACUUUUCUAUAAUUACCAAUCGGAACAGCCUCCGCAAUGUUUUCGAUGGCUUGAAUCUCAUCAAAGGAUUUGAAUGCAUAGAUGAGGUUAGGAAAACUUUGAUUAGUUUCAACUCGCACCUCAGUGUUUCCAUAAAAAGUAGCUUUAUACUUAUGUGAAGUGACUCUAUACUUGGAUAUGUUAUGUGUAAUGCCGAAGUUUCGCAUGGCAUAAUGUUCUCCCUCUUGAAACUUAGAGCUGAACUUGGAUGCUAUAUGUUUUGGUGCUGUAAAAUGAUACCUAGUUCCCUGCACCAUUCAUUAUAAAGUAAGUAAUAAGUAUUUCAUUAUAAUCAUGUUAUUCUGAAAUGAAUUAUCCAUUCUCAAAAGUGUACAGAAUCCAAACUGAGUACUACAACAAUUUCAGAUGUUCAUGAACUAAGAAAGUCAAAGGUUGUAUUAGUUUGCAUAUUUUAUUGAUGAUAAUCAUUAGAAUAUUGAUUAUCCACAUACUUACUAUGUCAAUAUAUAUGUGCUGAUUAUAAUUUAUAUGUUAUGCUUGCUUUGUCCUAUUAUUCAUUACUAUUAUUUCCUACUAUGCAUAUAAGUAGAAAUUUAAAAAAGACAAUAAUUUUAAUAAACCUCACUGAAAUUGCUGUAGUACAAAAAUCAGGGCCUGAAUAUCAAAGAGUGACAGCCUUCGAAGAAAAAAAAAACAGUUUUCUUUUCAGGAUACUACUACAUAAUAAGACAUACAAAUAAAAUAUAAGUUAUACUCCAUGUUUGGAGGAUGGCAUGCAAAUAAAAUAUAAGUUAUACUCCAUGUUUUAUUUAAUACAUACCUCCAUAUCAUGAAAUAUGCAUUCAAAGCUAUUUAGCUCCUCAUGUUUGGAGGAUGGCAUGCCAUAACAUCUUAUUAACCUAGCUUUAACUGCAGGCGACAUUGCUAAGGGGCGAAGCUCAUUAAAGAGUGACCACAUCCCGACCAUUGUAGAGCUUCAACGUUGAAUCUGCAUGAUAUUCAAUGUUAGAAUACAUGUAUGUAAGUAAUAGUUUUGAACAUCAACUAUUUGCUUUGAACUUACUGAAAACGUGAGGAAUGAAAUAUUUUCUUUCUUUUUUUGCUGCAGAUGUAUUACAAUUGUGCUGCAGAUGUAUUACAAUUGGAUAUGGAUAUGGAUUGGGAGUAUUUGAAGAGAUGGUUGCAUUACUUUUUAUUGGGGAGAGCA
This 2896-nucleotide long non-coding RNA is filed under the name Salvia miltiorrhiza (redroot sage). RNAcentral describes it as "long non-coding RNA (SMIL_LNC004681)". Lineage: Eukaryota; Viridiplantae; Streptophyta; Magnoliopsida; Lamiales; Lamiaceae. The record is from RNAcentral.